GGCUACCACUUCCAAGGAAGGCAGCAGGCGCGUAAAUUAUCCAAUCCCGAUUCGGGGAGAUAGUGACAAGAAAUACCGAUGUAGGGCCUUUUGGGUUCUACUAUCGGAAUGAGUACAACUUAAAACCAUUAGCGAGGAACAAUUGGAGGGCAAGUCUGGUGCCAGCAGCCGCGGUAAUUCCAGCUCCAAUAGCGUAUAUUAAAGUUGCUGCAGUUAAAAAGCUCGUAGUUGAAUUUCUGGUACGAUGUGCCUGGUCCACGGUCGCAAGGCCGCGCGUAUCGGAGUACGUCUGCCAUCCUUCUAGUUAACUGGCUAUACUUAACUGUGUGGUCAGCAACCUAGAUCUUUUACUUUGAAAAAAUUAGAGUGUUUAAAGCAGGCUCGCGCUGUGAAUACAUUAGCAUGGAAUAAUAAUUUAGGACUUUGCUUCUAUUUUAUUGGUUUCUAGGGGUAAAGUAAUGAUUGAUAGGGAUAGUUGGGGGUGCUAGUAUUCAUCGGCCAGAGGUGAAAUUCUUGGAUUCGAUGAAGACUAACUUAUGCGAAAGCAUUCACCAAGGAUGUCUUCUUUAAUCAAGAACGAAAGUUGGGGGAUCGAAGACGAUCAGAUACCGUCGUAGUCUCAACCAUAAGCUAUACCGACUAGGGAUUAGUGGAAGUUGCUAUAUCGACUCCAUUAGCACCUUAUGAGAAAUCAGAAGUCUUUGGGUUCUGGGGGGAGUAUGGUCGCAAGGCUGAAACUUAAAGGAAUUGACGGAAGGGCACCACCAGGAGUGGAGCCUGCGGCUUAAUUUGACUCAACACGGGAAAACUUACCAAGUCCAGACAUAAGAAGGAUUGACAGAUUGAGAGCUCUUUCUUGAUUCUAUGGGUGGUGGUGCAUGGCCGUUCUUAGUUGGUGGAGUGAUUUGUCUGGUUAAUUCCGUUAACGAACGAGACCUCAGCCUGCUAACUAGUUACGCUGGUCGUCUACUCGAGUGAACUGCCUGUAGCGGCAGGGUUUACUCCUUGUCGCAUCGGGUGGGGAUCUUUGAUGUGCCGGUGGAAAUACUUCUUAGAGGGACUAUUUGUAUCUAGCAAAUGGAAGUUUGAGGCAAUAACAGGUCUGUGAUGCCCUUAGAUGUUUUGGGAUGCACGCGCGCUACAAUGAUGAAGUCAACGAGUCUAACACCUUGGCCGGAAGGUCUGGGUAAUCUUUUGAAACUUCAUCGUAAUGGGGAUUGAUCUUUGUAAUUAUCGAUCAUUAACGAGGAAUUCCUAGUAAGCGUGGUUCAUCAAACCACGUUGAUUUCGUCCCUGCCCUUUGUACACACCGCCCGUCGCUCCUACCGAUUGAAUGAUCCGGUGAAAUCUCCGGAUUGGGGGGUCCAACUGUCGGGGCAACUCGGCAGUAACUCACCGAGAAGCUGAUUAAACCUUAUCAUUUAGAGGAAGGAGAAGUCGUAACAAGGUU
Molecule: ribosomal RNA, 1450 nt
Filed under: metagenome
Description: SSU rRNA
Rfam family: Eukaryotic small subunit ribosomal RNA
Source: RNAcentral